AACUUUAUUUAUAGAAACAAUAAGCUGGCUGGAUUUGACCCAAGGGAACCACAGUGAACAUAGACUUGAAAAGUGGAAGCUUGUGCUACCUGACUCACCACCUGGCACCCCUGCAAAAGUACCAGGCUCCUCUGAACCUUCAGUGAGUGCCCCAGGCCUGCCUGUGCUGGCUGUCACCAGUUUUUCAUUUACUGUGUUUUGACUGGAGGAAGAGAAGGUAACAGCCUGGUAAAAGGACGGGAAGCACAUUCUACACAGUUGAAGAGCAAUGGUUCUGAGGUAAGAGCUACCCCAGACCAGAGGAGGAGCUAGCAGGAAGCAUCUAACAGCCAAUGUCCUGUGUACGUUCAUCACAAACAGAAAGUCUGAUUGGGGCCUUCUAACGAAACAUAUAUUUAUCUUGGGCUCCCUGGUGUGGGUAGCAAAUAGUUGAAUGUUGAUCCCAACUGCAUUUUAGUAUAAAUGAACCAUACAUGGCAGACAUC
Molecule: long non-coding RNA, 485 nt
Filed under: Fukomys damarensis (Damara mole-rat)
Lineage: Eukaryota; Metazoa; Chordata; Mammalia; Rodentia; Bathyergidae
Description: lncRNA (ENSFDAG00000024448.1)
Source: RNAcentral